GACGAACGCUGGCGGCGUGCUUAACACAUGCAAGUCGAGCGGACCGGCGAACGGGUGAGUAACGCGUGAGUAACUGCCCCCCUCUCUGGGAUAACAGUUGGAAACGGCUGCUACUACCGGAUAGUGGGGGAUGAAUCGCGUCCUAUCAGCUUGUUGGUGGUGUAGGGGCCUACACAGGCGACGACGGGUAGCCGGCCUGAGAGGGCGACCGGCCACAUUGGGAUGGGAUACGGCCCAAGCUCCUACGGGAGGCAGCAGUGAGGCAUAGUGCACGAUGGGGGAAACCCUGAUGCAGCAACGCCGGGUGCGGAAUGUCGGCCUUCGGGUUGUAAACCGCUUUCAGCCAUGACGCGGUAGUGGGAGAAGAAGCACCGGCUAACUACGUGCCAGCAGCCGCGGUAAUAC
This 405-nucleotide ribosomal RNA is filed under the name uncultured bacterium. RNAcentral's name for it is "partial 16S ribosomal RNA". It matches the Rfam family "Bacterial small subunit ribosomal RNA", at positions 28 to 526 of the family's 1533-position model. The record is from RNAcentral.